CCCUUAGAUGUUCUGGGCAGCACGCGCGCUACAAUGGUCUUCGCAAACGGAUGCAUUCUCGAAGGAGAAUGCCAAUCUUGGAAUCUAUGCCUUGGUCGGGACAGUUGCUUGCAAUUUUUCGACUCGAACCAGGAAUUCCUUGUAAUCGUGAUUCAUCACAUCACGAUGAAUACGUCCCUGCCCUUUGUACACACCGCCCGUCGCUCCUACCGAUUGGGUGUUCCGGUGAGGAUUCAGGAUCGAGAGUAUAUUCUGCGGUGAGGUUAUGCUUUGCCGUAGAGCUUUUGAGAAUUUAUUCAAAUCUUAACAUUUAGAGGAAGGAGAAGUCGUAACA
RNAcentral lists this ribosomal RNA (334 nucleotides) under uncultured eukaryote. RNAcentral's name for it is "partial 18S ribosomal RNA". It matches the Rfam family "Eukaryotic small subunit ribosomal RNA", at positions 1470 to 1796 of the family's 1831-position model. The record is from RNAcentral.